RNAcentral lists this ribosomal RNA (505 nucleotides) under uncultured bacterium. Its description in RNAcentral is "partial 16S ribosomal RNA". It matches the Rfam family "Bacterial small subunit ribosomal RNA", at positions 28 to 523 of the family's 1533-position model. The record is from RNAcentral.
GAUGAACGCUAGCUACAGGCUUAACACAUGCAAGUCGAGGGGUAACGAGAGGAAAGCUUGCUUUCCUUGUUGACGACCGGCGCACGGGUGAGUAACGCGUAUCCAACCUGCCCCCAACUAGGGAAUAACCUUGCGAAAGUAAGACUAAUACCCUAUAAUUUCCUCAGAUGUCAUCUGACGAGGAAUAAAGAUUUAUCGGUUGUGGAUGGGGAUGCGUCUGAUUAGCUUGUUGGCGGGGUAACGGCCCACCAAGCAACGAUCAGUAGGGGUUCUGAGAGGAAGGUCCCACACAUUGGAACUGAGACACGGUCCAAACUCCUACGGGAGGCAGCAGUGAGGAAUAUUGGUCAAUGGGCGGAAGCCUGAACCAGCCAAGUAGCGUGCAGGAUGACGGCCCUAUGGGUUGUAAACUGCUUUUAUACAGGAAUAAAGUUAGCCACGUGUGGUUAUUUGUAGGUACUGUAUGAAUAAGGACCGGCUAAUUCCGUGCCAGCAGCCGCCGUAA